CAGAGUUCAUGCCCUAACGGGUAGACCUCCCACCCUUGUGUAUUUAUACUAUGUUGCUUUGGCGGGUAGCACCUCCGGGUGCUUCAGGGCUUGCUCGCCCGCCGAAGGAUACCUAAACUCUGUUUAUUAAUGUCGUCUGAGUACUAUAUAAUAGUUAA
This 158-nucleotide ribosomal RNA is filed under the name Ciborinia candolleana. The record is from RNAcentral. Lineage: Eukaryota; Fungi; Ascomycota; Leotiomycetes; Helotiales; Sclerotiniaceae.